RNAcentral lists this ribosomal RNA (496 nucleotides) under uncultured bacterium. RNAcentral's name for it is "partial 16S ribosomal RNA". It matches the Rfam family "Bacterial small subunit ribosomal RNA", at positions 28 to 506 of the family's 1533-position model. The record is from RNAcentral.
GAUGAACGCUGGCGGCGUGCCUAAUACAUGCAAGUCGAGCGAACAGACGAGGAGCUUGCUCCUCUGACGUUAGCGGCGGACGGGUGAGUAACACGUGGAUAACCUACCUAUAAGACUGGGAUAACUUCGGGAAACCGGAGCUAAUACCGGAUAAUAUAUUGAACCGCAUGGUUCAAUAGUGAAAGACGGUUUUGCUGUCACUUAUAGAUGGAUCCGCGCCGCAUUAGCUAGUUGGUAAGGUAACGGCUUACCAAGGCAACGAUGCGUAGCCGACCUGAGAGGGUGAUCGGCCACACUGGAACUGAGACACGGUCCAGACUCCUACGGGAGGCAGCAGUAGGGAAUCUUCCGCAAUGGGCGAAAGCUUGACGGAGCAACGCCGCGGGAGUGAUGAAGGUCUUCGGAUCGUAAAAAUCUGUUAUUAGGGAAGAACAAAUGUGUAAGUAACUAUGCACGUCUGGACGGUACCUAAUCAGAAAGCCACGGCUAACUACGU